CCUGGAUGCUUCAUACUUUGUAUAUAGAUGCUUCAUGUUAUGAAGUUUCCGUCAGUCACAUGUCCAAUGUCCUUGACCUCAUUUUCAUGGUUCAGUGACCACUUGAAAAAAAGUUCAAAUUUUUUGUAAUGUUGAAUUCUCUCUUAUUAUAAGUAAUAGGAUAACUAUAUUUGAUAUGUGCGUACCUUGCAAGGUCCUCGUGUCUGUCAGACAAUUUUCACUUGACCUCGACCUCAUUUCAUGGAUCAGUGAACAAGGUUAAGUUUUGGUGGUCAAGUCCAUAUCUCAGAUACUAUAAGCAAUAGGGCUAGUAUAUUCGGUGUAUGGAAGGACUGUAAGGUGUACAUGUCCAACUGGCAGGUGUCAUCUGACCUUGACCUCAUUUUCAUGGUUCAGUGGUUAUAGUUAAAUUUUUGUGUUUUGGUCUGUUUUUCUCAUACCAUAUGCAAUAGGUCUACUAUAUUUGUUUGUAUGGAAUGAUUGUUAAGUGUACAUGUCUAGCGGGCAGAUGUCAUGUGACCUUGACCUCAUUUUCAUGGUUCAGUGGUCAAAGUUAAGUUUUUGAGUUUUGGUCUUUUUAUCUAAUGCUAUAUAUGCCAUAGGUCAACUAUAUUUGGUGUAUGGAAAUAUUUUAUGAUCUUUAUGUCAGUCGAGCAGGUUUUAUUUAACCAUGACCUCAUUUUCACGGUUCAUUGCAC
Molecule: long non-coding RNA, 698 nt
Filed under: Mytilus galloprovincialis (Mediterranean mussel)
Lineage: Eukaryota; Metazoa; Mollusca; Bivalvia; Mytilida; Mytilidae
Source: RNAcentral